RNAcentral lists this ribosomal RNA (1742 nucleotides) under Proteus mirabilis. Its description in RNAcentral is "partial 23S ribosomal RNA". It matches the Rfam family "Bacterial large subunit ribosomal RNA", at positions 1223 to 2925 of the family's 2925-position model. The record is from RNAcentral. RNAcentral also lists the same sequence under 1 other name. Lineage: Bacteria; Pseudomonadati; Pseudomonadota; Gammaproteobacteria; Enterobacterales; Morganellaceae.
GUUGGGUAGGGGAGCGUUCUGUAAGCCUGCGAAGGUGUACUGUGAGGUAUGCUGGAGGUAUCAGAAGUGCGAAUGCUGACAUAAGUAACGAUAAUGCGGGUGAAAAACCCGCACGCCGGAAGACCAAGGGUUCCUGUCCAACGUUAAUCGGGGCAGGGUGAGUCGACCCCUAAGGCGAGGCUGAAAAGCGUAGUCGAUGGGAAACGGGUUAAUAUUCCCGUACUGGUGGUAACUGCGAUGGGGGAACGGAGAAGGCUAGGUUGUCCGGGCGACGGUCGUCCCGGUUCAAGCAGGUAGGCAGAGUGAUUAGGCAAAUCCGGUCACUUAAUGCUGAGAUGUGAUGACGAACCACCAAGGUGGUGAAGCAAUUGAUGCCCCGCUUCCAGGAAAAGCCUCUAAGCUUCAGGUUACCAACAAUCGUACCCCAAACCGACACAGGUGGUCAGGUAGAGAAUACUCAGGCGCUUGAGAGAACUCGGGUGAAGGAACUAGGCAAAAUGGUGCCGUAACUUCGGGAGAAGGCACGCUGGCGGUAGGUAAAGUCCCUCGCGGACGGCGCUGAAGCCAGUCGAAGAUACCAGCUGGCUGCAACUGUUUAUUAAAAACACAGCACUGUGCAAACACGAAAGUGGACGUAUACGGUGUGACGCCUGCCCGGUGCUGGAAGGUUAAUUGAUGGGGUUAGCGCAAGCGAAGCUCCUGAUCGAAGCCCCAGUAAACGGCGGCCGUAACUAUAACGGUCCUAAGGUAGCGAAAUUCCUUGUCGGGUAAGUUCCGACCUGCACGAAUGGCGUAAUGAUGGCCAGGCUGUCUCCACCCGAGACUCAGUGAAAUUGAACUCGCUGUGAAGAUGCAGUGUACCCGCGGCAAGACGGAAAGACCCCGUGAACCUUUACUAUAGCUUGACACUGAACAUUGAGCCUUGAUGUGUAGGAUAGGUGGGAGGCUUUGAAGUGUGGACGCCAGUCUGCAUGGAGCCAACCUUGAAAUACCACCCUUUAACGUUUGAUGUUCUAACCUAGGCCCAUAAACUGGGUCGGGGACCGUGUCUGGUGGGUAGUUUGACUGGGGCGGUCUCCUCCUAAAGAGUAACGGAGGAGCACGAAGGUUGGCUAAGCAUGGUCGGACAUCAUGCGGUUAGUGCAAAGGCAUAAGCCAGCUUGACUGCGAGAGUGACGGCUCGAGCAGGUACGAAAGUAGGUCUUAGUGAUCCGGUGGUUCUGAAUGGAAGGGCCAUCGCUCAACGGAUAAAAGGUACUCCGGGGAUAACAGGCUGAUACCGCCCAAGAGUUCAUAUCGACGGCGGUGUUUGGCACCUCGAUGUCGGCUCAUCACAUCCUGGGGCUGAAGUAGGUCCCAAGGGUAUGGCUGUUCGCCAUUUAAAGUGGUACGCGAGCUGGGUUUAGAACGUCGUGAGACAGUUCGGUCCCUAUCUGCCGUGGGCGUUGGAAGAUUGAGAGGGGUUGCUCCUAGUACGAGAGGACCGGAGUGAACGCACCACUGGUGUUCGGGUUGUCAUGCCAAUGGCAUUGCCCGGUAGCUAAGUGCGGAAGAGAUAACCGCUGAAAGCAUCUAAGCGGGAAACUUGCCUCGAGAUGAGUCUUCCCUGUCGCUUUAAGCGACCUAAAGGAACGUUUAAGACUAAGACGUUGAUAGGCUGGGUGUGUAAGCGUAGCGAUACGUUGAGCUAACCAGUACUAAUGAACCGUGAGGCUUAACCUGACAACACCGAAAGUGUUUUG